Molecule: ribosomal RNA, 1237 nt
Filed under: metagenome
Description: bacterial LSU rRNA
Rfam family: Bacterial large subunit ribosomal RNA
Source: RNAcentral
GAGACGCUAAGGCGUUGAAGCAGUGUAUGUCAGACUUCCAAGAAAAGCUCGCAAUGUCACUAAUAAAAAAUGCCUGUACCAUAACCGACACAGGUGGGUAGGUAGAGUAUACUAAGGGGCGCGAGAUAACUCUCUCUAAGGAACUCGGCAAAAUGACUCCGUAACUUCGGGAGAAGGAGUGCCUUAUUUAUAAGGUUGCAAUAACAAGAUCCAAGCAACUGUUUAUCAAAAACACAGGUCUCCGCUAAGUCGUAAGACGAUGUAUGGGGGCUGACGCCUGCCCAGUGCCAGAAGGUUAAAGAAGUUGGUUAGUGUAUGCGAAGCUGAUGACUGAAGCCCUGGUGAACGGCGGCCGUAACCAUAACGGUCCUAAGGUAGCGAAAUUCCUUGUCGGGUAAGUUCCGACCCGCACGAGAGGCGUAAUGAUUUGGAUACUGUCUCGGAGAGAGGCUCGGCGAAAUAGACUUGUCUGUGAAGAUGCGGACUACCUGCACCAGGACAGAAAGACCCUAUGAAGCUUUACUGUAACUUGAAAUUGGAAUUGGACUUUGCUUGCGCAGUAUAGGUGGGAAGCGUUGAAAAUAUUCUUGCGGGAGUAUUGGAGCUGUCAGUGGGAUACCACUCUUGUAAUGUUAGAUUUCUAACUUUGAACCAUAAUCUGGUCAAAGAACAGUUUCAGGUGGGCAGUUUGACUGGGGCGGUCGCCUCCCAAAUGGUAACGGAGGCGUACAAAGGUUUCCUCUGAACGGAUAGAAAUCGUAUCUAGAGUGUAAAGGCAUAAGGAAGCUUGACUGUGAGACCUACAAGUCGAGCAGGGACGAAAGUCGGUCUUAGUGAUCUGACGGUACUGAGUGGAAAGGCCGUCACUCAACGGAUAAAAGUUACUCUAAGGAUAACAGGCUGAUCUCCCCCAAGAGUUCACAUCGACGGGGAGGUUUGGCACCUCGAUGUCGGCUCAUCGCAUCCUGGGGCGGUAGUACGUCCCAAGGGUUGGGCUGUUCGCCCAUGAAAGCGGUACGCGAGCUGGGUUCAGAACGUCGUGAGACAGUUCGGUCCAUAUCCGGUGUAGGCGCUAGAAUAUUGAGAGGAGCCUUCUUUAGUACGAGAGGACCGAGAAGGACACACCGCUGGUGUACCAGUUAUCGUGCCAACGGUAAACGCUGGGUAGCUAUGUGUGGAGUGGAUAACCGCUGAAAGCAUCUAAGUGGGAAGCCCACCUCGAGAUGAGUAUUCUCAC